This 278-nucleotide ribosomal RNA is filed under the name uncultured prokaryote. RNAcentral describes it as "partial 16S ribosomal RNA". It matches the Rfam family "Bacterial small subunit ribosomal RNA", at positions 524 to 801 of the family's 1533-position model. The record is from RNAcentral.
UACGGAGGGUGCAAGCGUUAUUCGGAAUUACUGGGCGUAAAGCGCGCGUAGGCGGCUUUGUAAGUCAGGGGUGAAAUCCCACGUCUCAACCGUGGGACUGCCUUUGAAACUGCGAGGCUUGAAUCCUGGAGAGGGUGGCGGAAUUCCUGGUGUAGGAGUGAAAUCCGUAGAUAUCAGGAGGAACACCGGUGGCGAAGGCGGCCACCUGGACAGGUAUUGACGCUGAGGUGCGAAAGUGUGGGGAGCAAACAGGAUUAGAUACCCCUGUAGUCCCUGAG